UACGUAGGUGACAAGCGUUGUCCGGAUUUACUGGGCGUAAAGAGCGCGCAGGCGGUCGUUCAAGUCGAGUGUGAAAGCCCCCGGCUCAACUGGGGAGGGUCACUCGAUACUGAUCGACUCGAAGGCAGGAGAGGGUAGUGGAAUUCCCGGUGUAGUGGUGAAAUGCGUAGAUAUCGGGAGGAACACCAGUGGCGAAGGCGACUACCUGGCCUGUUCUUGACGCUGAGGUGCGAAAGCGUGGGGAGCAAACAGG
Molecule: ribosomal RNA, 253 nt
Filed under: uncultured bacterium
Lineage: Bacteria
Description: partial 16S ribosomal RNA
Rfam family: Bacterial small subunit ribosomal RNA
Source: RNAcentral